GUCAGGAUGGCCGAGCGGUCUAAGGCGCUGGAUUCAGGCUCUGGAGCAGUGGGUUCAAAUCCCACUUCUGACA
Pseudophryne corroboree (corroboree frog) is the source of this 73-nucleotide non-coding RNA. Lineage: Eukaryota; Metazoa; Chordata; Amphibia; Anura; Myobatrachidae. The record is from the annotation of a RefSeq genome assembly.